RNAcentral lists this ribosomal RNA (484 nucleotides) under uncultured bacterium. RNAcentral's name for it is "partial 16S ribosomal RNA". It matches the Rfam family "Bacterial small subunit ribosomal RNA", at positions 30 to 507 of the family's 1533-position model. The record is from RNAcentral.
AUUGAACGCUGGCGGCAGGCCUAACACAUGCAAGUCGAGCGGAUGAAGGGAGCUUGCUCCUGGAUUCAGCGGCGGACGGGUGAGUAAUGCCUAGGAAUCUGCCUGGUAGUGGGGGAUAACGUCCGGAAACGGGCGCUAAUACCGCAUACGUCCUGAGGGAGAAAGUGGGGGAUCUUCGGACCUCACGCUAUCAGAUGAGCCUAGGUCGGAUUAGCUAGUUGGUGGGGUAAAGGCCUACCAAGGCGACGAUCCGUAACUGGUCUGAGAGGAUGAUCAGUCACACUGGAACUGAGACACGGUCCAGACUCCUACGGGAGGCAGCAGUGGGGAAUAUUGGACAAUGGGCGAAAGCCUGAUCCAGCCAUGCCGCGUGUGUGAAGAAGGUCUUCGGAUUGUAAAGCACUUUAAGUUGGGAGGAGGGGCAGUAAGUUAAUACCUUGCUGUUUUGACGUUACAAACAGAAUAAGCACCGGCUAACUUCGUG